RNAcentral lists this ribosomal RNA (416 nucleotides) under Anomaloglossus baeobatrachus group sp. ABGD cluster 2. RNAcentral's name for it is "partial large subunit ribosomal RNA". It matches the Rfam family "Bacterial large subunit ribosomal RNA", at positions 1822 to 2457 of the family's 2925-position model. The record is from RNAcentral. Lineage: Eukaryota; Metazoa; Chordata; Amphibia; Anura; Aromobatidae.
CUUGAUUAAACCAUAAGAGGUCCAGCCUGCCCAGUGACAUUGUUCAACGGCCGCGGUAUCCUAACCGUGCGAAGGUAGCGUAAUCACUUGUCCUUUAAAUGAAGACUAGUAUGAAUGGCCCCACGAAAGCUAUACUGUCUCCUUUUUCUAAUCAGUUAAACUAAUCUCCCCGUGAAGAAGCGGGAAUAAACAUAUAAGACGAGAAGACCCUAUGGAGCUUCAAACAACUGAAACAUUUGUAUAUCCUCCCCUCACCUGCCAACAUUUAACCUCACAUUUUGUUUCUAGUUUUAGGUUGGGGUGACCACGGAGAAAAAACUAACCUCCACGACGAAAGAGACAUCUCUAAACAAAAAGCUACAUCUUUAUGUAUUAACACAUUAACCUUUAUUGACCCAAUAAAUUGAUCAACGAAC